RNAcentral lists this long non-coding RNA (349 nucleotides) under Microcebus murinus (gray mouse lemur). RNAcentral describes it as "lncRNA (ENSMICG00000048181.1)". Lineage: Eukaryota; Metazoa; Chordata; Mammalia; Primates; Cheirogaleidae. The record is from RNAcentral.
GGUCAGCCUGCGCGCCUCUUCACUCCCACUCUUCCCAUUUCGCCGUCUCCGCGCCAGGGCAGGCAGCCACUCCAGCUGGUUGCCCCUCCCUCUUCUGAGAUGUCAGGAAGGAGGGAGCCACCGGUGUCCUCCACAAGGGCCCCCCGGAAUCUGGGGGCCCCCAGCCCCAGAGCUCGGAGGUGGAGGAGGUGCUGACAGGUCAGGUGCUCCAAGAGAUGCUCCCCGUCCCCUCAUGCUCCCUUCCCAUCCUCCUCCUCUUCCUCCUCCCCAGUGUCCCAAUGGAGCCCCACCCCCCACCCUCACCACUGCCCCCAUUCUUAGCCCCUGAGUGGGACCUCCUGUCCCCCCG